GGCGGUCCUCAGGUGACACACCCGGGAAUCGGGCUCCCUCCUCUCUGGUUCCAGGGGGGCCACCCGAGAACUGCA
Non-coding RNA from Myotis brandtii (Brandt's bat), 75 nucleotides. The record is from Rfam. NCBI's taxonomy places the organism in Eukaryota, Metazoa, Chordata, Mammalia, Chiroptera, Vespertilionidae.